GAGUUUGAUCCUGGCUCAGGAUGAACGCUGGCGGCGUGCCUAAUACAUGCAAGUCGAACGAAGAAGUAAGCUUGCUUACUUCUUAGUGGCGAACGGGUGAGUAAUACAUAAGCAAUCUGCCCAUAUGCCUGGGAUAACCGUUGGAAACGAUGGCUAAUACCGGAUAGGUGAAUUGAAGGCAUCUUUGAUUCAUUAAAGUUGGGAAACAACACAUAUGGAUGAGCUUAUGGCGCAUUAGCUAGUUGGUGAGGUAACGGCUCACCAAGGCGAUGAUGCGUAGCCGACCUGAGAGGGUGACCGGCCACACUGGGACUGAGACACGGCCCAGACUCCUACGGGAGGCAGCAGUAGGGAAUUUUCGGCAAUGGGGGAAACCCUGACCGAGCAACGCCGCGUGAGUGAAGAAGGCCUUCGGGUUGUAAAGCUCUGUUGUAAGGGAAGAAGAGAUCAUAGAGGGAAUGCUAUGAUUGUGACGGUACCUUACCAGAAAGCCACGGCUAACUACGUGCCAGCAGCCGCGGUAAUACGUAGGUGGCGAGCGUUAUCCGGAAUUAUUGGGCGUAAAGGGUGCGUAGGCGGCACACUAAGUCUAAGGUUAAAGUUCGAGGCUCAACUUCGGAUUGCCUUAGAAACUGGUGAGCUAGAGUGCAGGAGAGGGCAAUGGAAUUCCAUGUGUAGCGGUAAAAUGCGUAGAUAUAUGGAGGAACACCAGUGGCGAAGGCGGUUGCCUGGCCUGUAACUGACGCUGAGGCACGAAAGCGUGGGGAGCAAAUAGGAUUAGAUACCCUAGUAGUCCACGCUGUAAACGAUGAUUACUAAGUGUUGGAGAAAUUCAGUGCUGCAGUUAACGCAAUAAGUAAUCCGCCUGGGGAGUAUGCACGCAAGUGUGAAACUCAAAGGAAUUGACGGGGGCCCGCACAAGCGGUGGAGUAUGUGGUUUAUUCGAAGCAACGCGAAGAACCUUACCAGGUCUUGACAUACCGGGCAAAGCUCUAGAAGAUAGAGAAAUAGUAUGCCGGAUACAGGUGGUGCAUGCUGGUCGGUCAGCUCGUGUCGUGAGAUGGUGUUUAGUUCCCGCACCGAGCGCAUCCCUUGACUUAGUUACCAUUCAUCAGUUGGACUUACGAACAGCCGGUGACCUAUCGAAGAAGGU
This 1153-nucleotide ribosomal RNA is filed under the name uncultured Bacillota bacterium. RNAcentral's name for it is "bacterial SSU rRNA". It matches the Rfam family "Bacterial small subunit ribosomal RNA", at positions 9 to 1174 of the family's 1533-position model. Lineage: Bacteria; Bacillati; Bacillota. The record is from RNAcentral.